GAAAAGGGCUGUAGCUCAGUGAAAGUGUCUCUGCUUGCUAUGCAGAAGGUCCAAGGCUCAAUCCCUGGCAUUUUCA
Molecule: transfer RNA, 76 nt
Filed under: Sphaerodactylus townsendi
Lineage: Eukaryota; Metazoa; Chordata; Lepidosauria; Squamata; Sphaerodactylidae
Description: tRNA-Ser
Source: RNAcentral